Long non-coding RNA from Cavia porcellus (domestic guinea pig), 1445 nucleotides. RefSeq lists it as uncharacterized. NCBI's taxonomy places the organism in Eukaryota, Metazoa, Chordata, Mammalia, Rodentia, Caviidae. The record is from RefSeq and is a predicted model, not a curated record. The transcript has 4 exons.
UAGUGCGGAUACAAUGAGAAUAUUAUACAAUUCUUUUACAAAAUGUGGAAGUGGCUGAAAAUUUGUUUUCAUCUCUGUGAAGUUUUGGUGAUUUUUUUCCCUUUCUCAAGAGUAGUUAGUGAUUGCUGUGAAGAGGUUGUGCCUGAGAAGUGACGGUCAGACUGAAAACCAGCCUUUGAUAUUUGAACAGCUCUUUCCGUCUCAGAGUUCUCCCAUGUCAGAGUUGCUGGAAUAGAGCAGGGUUUGAGAAGAGAUUGCACUGAAGGAGUCAUCAGCAUUCCUGGUCCUGUCUGUGCCUUGCCUUGAUUGUCCUCCAAGAGGGAGCCUCCUGUGUGCAGAGCCAUAUGCUCUACGGCUUUUCAUGUGAUCAGCUUGCAUGCAGCUAAAUAGACAUCAUACAACUAUUAUCACGAUGUAUUUAUUCGGGAAAAGAGGAAAAACUUGUAGUUAUUGUCUCACAUGGGGAGAAGAAUGAAGGAGACUGGAGGAUGGCCUGUACCAGUGAUGGUGAACUGAUGGCAUGCGUGCUGCAACAGAGAGGCCAAACCUUCUCCAUCAGCACGAAGCCAAGUCGCCCUAAAAUCACCCUAACAUCAGAAUCAGGAAAAGAUUGUCUUCACCAAAUCAAAAUCUGAAGGGACAGAAAUCGCCCCAAAUCCACGUGUGGCUUGGUUUAAUAUCCACACCCACAUAUCUGGUGGGAGGGAAAGAGAGAAGACAGACAUCAGAGACACCAAACCAGGGCUCCAAGAGGCUCUGGAACAGUGUCACAAAGAAGGAAGAGAUUGGAAGAUGGAUUAAAUACUUUCAUUCCCUGCUGAGAUCUCCACAGAGCAAAUCCUUUUUUUUUUUUUUUUUUUGGUCUUUUUUCCUUUUUAUCGGUACCAGGGAUCGAACUCACGACUGCCUGCUUCCAAGGCAGGCGCUUAUGCCGCUAAGCUAAAUCCCCAGCCCCAGCAGAACAAAUCCUAAGUGUUUUCUUUUAAAUAGCUCAAGUCCCAAAGGAUGAAGAUAGCAGAAAAUGAGGUGAUAACUCAUGUUUUGUAACCUGGAAAGCUGCUGAGUCGUAGAGGACCAAGAGGAAUUUAAGGCUAAGCCCAGGCAGGGAUGGAUGGGAUUCAACUCAACUUCCUCCUCAGAAUAUGCAGCUCAGAAAUGGAGAAUGUGUGGUUCUUUUAGAAGUUGGGUGGGUAGACAGACUAAAAGGGGGAGAUUGGCUGAAAGUUAGUUUUUGAAAUAAAUGUCUGGAUCAUCUUGCCAGCUGUGGAUAACCAGGCCGUGGGUCCUCCCAGGUGUGGCAAAGGAAAGAGUAUUUUCUUCUAGAGGGAGAAACUUGACCUCCUUGAAGAUGGAGGUAUCAUAGUGAGACAGGUCAGUUGACUGUACUAGGCAUGAUCAAAAUAUAUGGUGAAUGUUUAAAUUUAAUAAAAAUUAAUAUAGCAAAA